RNAcentral lists this ribosomal RNA (486 nucleotides) under uncultured bacterium. RNAcentral describes it as "partial 16S ribosomal RNA". It matches the Rfam family "Bacterial small subunit ribosomal RNA", at positions 30 to 507 of the family's 1533-position model. The record is from RNAcentral.
AUUGAACGCUGGCGGCAUGCCUUACACAUGCAAGUCGAACGGCAGCACGGGUGCUUGAACCUGGUGGCGAGUGGCGAACGGGUGAGUAAUACAUCGGAACAUGUCCUGUAGCGGGGGAUAGCCCGGCGAAAGCCGGAUUAAUACCGCAUACGAUCUACGGAUGAAAGCGGGGGACCUUCGGGCCUCGCGCUAUAGGGUUGGCCGAUGGCUGAUUAGCUAGUUGGUGGGGUAAAGGCCUACCAAGGCGACGAUCAGUAGCUGGUCUGAGAGGACGACCAGCCACACUGGGACUGAGACACGGCCCAGACUCCUACGGGAGGCAGCAGUGGGGAAUUUUGGACAAUGGGCGAAAGCCUGAUCCAGCAAUGCCGCGUGUGUGAAGAAGGCCUUCGGGUUGUAAAGCACUUUUGUCCGGAAAGAAAUCCUUGGCCCUAAUACGGUCGGGGGAUGACGGUACCGGAAGAAUAAGCACCGGCUAACUACGUG